UAAUGACAUCAUAAUUAUGUUACAUUCAAAUUUAAAUAAUAAUAAUAAUAAUAAUAAUAAUAAUAAUAAUAAUAAUAAUAGUAAUAGUGUUACAUUUGAAUAAAAGGAUCCAAGUGGAUAAAAUCUUAGGCAACUCUGCCCAGGCUCCCUCCUUCCCAGUGGAUAAGUGGCACUGAGAGCCCCAGGCCAAAUGGGAACAUCAGGUGGAAUUUAAGGGGUCUCUCAUUCUUCCUAUUUUAACCCAAGGCUCCAAGGAAGGAGCUGCUUCACAGCUCUGUAUUUUCCCCAUUUUUCUAUUUAGGGAUGAUUGCUCCACACAGCAUUGUAACUUCCAUGCCAUGGGCUGUUUUGUUCUCGCUCCUUUUUUUCCUCCCAGAACAUACGAUGCAGGUUCUGCUUGUGGACUGUUUUAAUAGCAAGGUGGCUGAGACAAAGUUUACUCAAUAAACUUGCUUUUCCCCUUGAGCAGCUUUAGCUUAGAUAAACGGGCUUUAAAGUCCCGGCCUAGCGUGGGACUAGGAAUGUUUACCAUUCAUCAUUGUUAGUUAAUUGCUGUUUGCUUAAAUAUUUAGUUUGGAUUAAGUUCUUUUAUUCCCUUUUCUUAAAAAAUAAUAAAUAAAGGUGUGUUUAGCCAUGUGGUAAAAGGCUUUUAAAAGACACUGCAGGGGGGAAGCUCCAUAAAGUUCUUUUUUUAUAUUUUGCAUUUACAUUUUCUUAUUUUUAUUCUGCUGUGUUAUAUUUGUUAUUAGCCAGGCUGAAGCAGCAAGGACAAGGACAUUCCGCUGCUUUCUGUAGAGGCUGCAGACAGUUUUAUUCCUUAUUUCAAAGAGAAAAACCCCACUGAAUCAUGGAAUAUCCUGAGCUGGAAGGGACCCACGGGACCAUCAGCUCCUGCUCCUGGCUCUGCAGGGACAGCCCCAAAUGCAGUUUCCAGCCUGGGUUAAAGCCACCAAACCCAGCUGGGGGCCUGCAGCUGGAUUGUGUUCCGUGGAAGAGGACAGGGGAAGGCAGUUUGGGCAGGGGCAGUUUUGGGAAGGGCACCGAGGAGGAUUCCCAGCCCUGUGAGGUGUUAGUGAGCAGCAGGGUGAGGAGCUGAGUGCCAGGGCCAGCUCCCAGGUGCUGCUCCCUGUGCAGGACAACGAGCAGCAGAAAGUGAUGGGGACGGGCUGGGGGAGGCCUGGCAGGGAGCAGGGCCCGCUGAAAAAGGCCUUUUUUGGUUCAAACCGCCGUGUUCCACAGCAGCAGUGACCCAGUCCUUACGUAAGCAAGGGUUUAAUUUUGGAACUUUAAUGUUUCGCGGCUUAGGUUUCCUCUGCUGGUUCUCACGCAGGGCCAGGCUGACAGAACGCUUCUCCCUCCCGUUAUCAGUCACCAAAGGCAUGUCCUGUGCCCUGCUCGAGGCCCAGCUCAGGAAUAUUUGGUUUUGGGAUAGUUCUGUGCCCCAGCACGGCUCUGUCAGCCUGGGGCAGGGUUUGUAAGGUGCCCUCAGCCCGGGUGGCUGCUCUGAGCUCUGCCCUGCCCAGGGAGGACCAAAGGCUGUUGGAUUUUUUUCUGUGUCCUCACAGUAAAAGUGCCACAGGUGUCCCCUGGGAGGGGACAGCUCUGCCUGUCCCCUGCUGCCAAAGGCAGCGCUGGUUUCUCACCUGCAGCCCAGCCCUCCAGCCUGGACUGCUCUGUUCCAAACCAGCAGAGAACUCAGGAACAGGAGGUGAAUUCCACUAGAAGUGCUUUGAAGGAAGGAGUUUCCAUGGGGAUGGGGGCUGGCUGGGUUUAUUUCAGGUCCUUAGGAGGCAGCAGGUCCUUCUCAGAUGAACCUGUGUGCUCUCCAUCCACGACUUCUGCCUUUUCUUCCCCCUGGGCUGUGCUGGCUCUGGUGGUUCCCUCGCUGCCAUCCUCUCCUGUCAUGGAAUGACUGCAGCUCCAGACUGGAACCAUCCCUGGACCAUUCUGAGCGUCCCCUCCCAGUGCCAGCGGGAUGGAUUUCCCUGUCUUGUGUCUGUGAAAAGGAUUUAGAGAAAGGUUUGGGCUGGGGGCCAUCAAAGGGACUUUAAAACUUAUCUCAUUCCACCCCUGCCAUGGGAUAUCCAAAAUAUCUUAAAAAAUGACAAUUAGGGAAAAAAAUAGAAAAGUUCAUUCUCUAAUUGAGCUUUGUUUGCAAAAUAAUUCCAGGCCACGAAGAGUAAUCAACUCAUGCAUAAAAACAAGGCUUUAGGAUCAAUUUUCAUUUUAUUACUGGUAGCUUGGAUUUUAGAAGUUACUGGUGGUUUUCAAAUGAUUUUUGCUAUGGAAGUACAAAACACCUGUCCUAAAUUUGUGAGCUCUUUUUUAAUGAAAGGCUAGGGAGAGAAAUGAUCAAGAAAACACAUUUUUAAAAAAAUAAAUCUUGGCAGUUUGAGGCCAAAACAGCUGUGAAAGGAUCCUCGCCUUGCCCCCUCUUUUUUCCAAGUAUUUUAAAAGAUAAUAGCUUAGAACUCCUUAUUUUUAGAAGCCUCCAGAAGGCUCAGCUGAGACCCAGAGGCCACCGUGGCUCAGCGCUGUACAAGCAAAUUAUUUAGGCCAGUUUAUCCCCGGCCAAAAUAAUUCACAAUCCCAGUUUCCAGGCUGAGACGAGAGGCAGGGAGAGAGCUCAGGCAGCGCUGCCAGCACCAAGCCCAGCAGGAACAGCAGAACACCCCGGCCAGCCAAGCUGAUGAAUAUGAUAAUCCCAAAUAUGAUAAUUUUCGGUAAUAAAAAGCACUUCAGGAUGGAUUUUUUUUUUUUUUAAUAAAUGGUGUGCGUGCGAGGCGCCGGCUCUGGGCGUUCCCUGGCAGCCGGAGCUGCUCCGUGCGCGUCUGGCGGCUCCGAGCGCCCGCGGGUGCCGCGCGGGGCUGCAGCUCUCCCGUGAAUCACUCUUGCAGUGUGGGUUUUUUUUUUUUGUUUUAUUGGUCUGCUUGCUGUUCCAUUUGUGAUUUUGCAAUCCCCUUAUGCCACUCCAUACCGAGUUUUAAAGCCCCACCUUCCCAAUUGUCAAUCCCGCCUAUCCCUGCCCUUUUCCCCCUGAAUCCCCCUUGCUCCUCCCUCCCACUGGGUGUUAAUCCUCCCCCGAACCUGCCCUUUCUUCUGGAGAAUUCCCUAUUUUAUGUCCUUUGGGACCCUAUUACCCAAGUUAUUCCCCUCCCUAGUGCUCCUUUAUUGGUUCAAGAGUAAAAUACCCUGCCUCCAACCCCUCCCCAACCAUACCCCUAUUGGUUUGCUACCCUAAACCCCUUCUCCCGAGCGAGGCAUGAAAGCUCUUGUUAGCCCCAAGUCUGGGUCUUGGGUGCUGAUCAUGAACCCCAAGUCUCACGCCGAGACCCGUGCUGCUGCCUUUUGUUCCUGCGCCGAGCCACCGCUGGUAGCUGGGAUUCUGCAGAGCUUGCAAGGGGGAUCCUGUCGCGCCCCAGUUGUCACAAAGUUGUGACAAAGUCCUCACCGUGACACCUGGUGCCCAACGUGAGGCUUGAGAACAUCAACGGCACAUUUCCCAAUCCCUGCAAAAGCAGCGGCUCCAGGCAGGCACAGCCACGGGCAGGGAUGUGCCCUCCCAGCCACGUGGUUGUCUUCGAGGGUCCCAGGACGAGGAAGAGAUGAGAAUCUUGACUCCAUCUUUUCAGAAGGCUGAUUUAUUAUGAUAUUAUAUGAUAUUAAAAAUGCUAUGCUAAAAGAAUAGAUAAAAUGAUACAGACAGAAAGCUGGAAAGGAAAAUGGAAUGGAAUGGAAUGGAAUGGAAUGGAAUGGAAUGGAAUGGAAUGAUAACAAAAGCUCGUGACUCUCCGAGAGUCCGAGACAGCUGGACCAUGGCUGGUCAUUAAGUAGAAACAACCCACAUGGACCCAUCAAAGAUGCACCUGUUGCAUUCCACAGCAGCAGAUAAUUGUUGUUUUUUCUUUUCCUCUGUGGCUUCUCAGCUUCUCAGGAGAAAAAAUCCUAGCAAAGGGAUUUUUCAUAAAAUAUCACAGCGACACAUCCGCAGGGAUCUCCCAGCCAGGCCCCAGGCUCAGCUCACCUGGCAGAGCUGAUGCCAGGAGCAGGGGGCACAGGGACAGGCAUGCUCCUGGCCACGGGCUGCUGCUGGCCCAGCAAUGCCAAACCAGCUGCUCAGGAAUGCCCAAACAGGGUGCAGCUCCAGGCAGCUGGGAGGUGACAGCAGGAGGGACAGCCAGGACUGAGGGACAGCCAGAAACUCUGCUCUGGCACCAGCUGAGCUCCAGGAGACUGGCUCCGUGGGACUUCUCUUGGGGAAGCAAACAGGGCUGUGCAGGGGAAUUUCUGCCCUGCAGCCCACGGGUACCAACUGCUCUGCACUGAGUCUUUCUCAUUUAAAUAAAAACAAAACAAAAAAAAAGCCAAAUCCUGGAUCUGCAUUUCAGUGCAAAGGGUGAUUGAGCCCCAAAAGUGUAAACUGAAAUCUUUUCUGAUCAGUUCUAAGCAGAAAUACUGCUGCUCCUCAGUGCAUCCAAACCCUUAUCCCCACUCAGAGCUGCCUGCCAGCCUGGACACGAUCCUGCCUCUCUCAGGGCUGGGUCCUGGCAUUCACCAUGGCUUCGAUUUUUACAUAAAACAUCCCAUCAGGCUCAGAUGAACAUAAAAUUUAAUCCAUGCUGUUCCCCCUGUACUUGCAGUAGUUCCUCAGGAAAAUCCAAGAUAUUAAAAUGUGAUUUCUGCCACAGAAACUAAAAGAAACCCCAGAGCAUUCACUCCUGGUUUCUGAUUAAACAAAACUAAGUUGUUACAGCUGAAGGGAUUCAUUUUCUGACUAACUAUUUAAAUUGGUAAUUAAUAUCCAUCCCUUUGGUGGGGAAAGAGUUAUUUGCCAGAAUUUCCCAGGCUGGAUGGGACAAAUAAACUUACCAGAGUUUGGAAAACAGAGGCUUAAAUCUGUUUAUUUCCCACUAAACAUUUUGCAACGCCGCUGACGAGAAGCAGUCAGAGAAGCAGUCAGAGGAGGAAAUCCAUCCAGCCGGGAUUUCCGCGGGGUUUAACCAGAGCCUGGCAUGCAGGAGGAGCCCAGGGCUCGGUCUUUAGGCGGAGAGGCCGCGGGAGCCGCAGCCGUGCCCGGCAGAGCUCGGCUCACCGGCAGAGCAGCUCGGCAGGAGCGGAGCUGAGCGCUGGGCAGCUGGAGCUGCAGCCAAGGCCGGCAGGGGGGACACUGCUGCCACUGCCACUGUCACUGCCACUGCCACCCUCCGAGCCCCCGGGUUCUGCAAGGACGGGCACCGAGUGCCCCCGGCCCCGCUGCGGCCAGCUGGGCACCGAGCCCCUCUCCAGUCACAGCGCCCUGUGCCCACGGGGAACGGGGACCUGGGCACAGCAGAAGUGUGGCUGUAAUUGGGAUUAAUCUAUUUUUAGCAGGCUGUCUGCUGCCCUGUCCACGCUCCAGCUGAGAUGUUUAAUUCUGUCCAGCUUGACUCUUUCUGCAGUGGCACCCAGGACUGAUUUUUCUUUCCUUAUAAACCUUGAAUUUAUUUGGGUUGGUUUUUUUUUUUUUUUUUUUUUUCCAAUUCAUUGUUAUUCCUUGUUUUGUUUUUUUUUGUUUUUUUUUUUUUAAUCUUUUUUUCCUCCUAUCUACAAUAACUGGAAAAUCCAGCACUGAAGUAAUACAAACGUUGCUGUAUUAAAAUUAAAAAAAAAAGUUAUACAACAUUUACUAUCAUUAUUAUUCAUUUUACUAUGGAGUUUGGAAACCUCGUCAUAGAACAGGAAUGUGUUGUACCCUGUGCUGCACAAACAGUACAGAAGGAAAAUUGCCUCUUCCAAGCUAUAUUGGAUAAAAACACGCAGUGAUACCAAAAGGAUUUUGGUUAAACAGCAGCAGGACAAGAUGUUAAAGCCAUCUCUGAGCACCUCACCAUUUACUGACCCCGCACUUAAAUACCUGCCGUGCGUAUCUUUAACCUUUUAUGAGGUAUUUGGAAAGGGAACUUCGAGAUUAGACUUGGGAAAACACCCUGGAACACAGUUGGACCGACAUCAAGAGCCUGCUCCGGCUCGGGAAUGUUUGCCUUUCCCAAAUCCUCCUGGCCCGUGCGAGAGCGGGACCCGCUGCCCAGGGAGCGGAACCUUCAGCAGAGCAGCCAGAGCGGCUCUUUGGGCUUCUCCUGGCGAUUGGGAAGAUGCUCCGCAGGGAAAACCAGGGUUCAGUGCUGAAAGCUGCCCUGCAAACCCAGCCCGGGGCCGGUUCUGUGGGGUUUGGACCCUGCUGGGUUUGGAUCCUGCUGGGUUUGGAUCCUACAGGGCUUGGAUCCUGCUGGGUUUGGACCCUGCUGGGUUCGGACCCUGCUGGUUUUGGAUCCUGCUCGGUUUGGUCCCUGCCCCGUUCGGACCCUGUCCUGUUCGGACCCUGCCCGGUUCGGACCCUGCUGGGUUUGGAUCCUGCUCGGUUCGGAUCCUGUCUUGUUCGGACCCUGCUGGGUUUGGAUCCUGCUCGGUUUGGUCCCUGCCCCGUUCGGACCCUGUCCUGUUCGGACCCUGCCCGGUUCGGACCCUGCUGGGUUUGGAUCCUGCUCGGUUUGGUCCCUGUCCGGCCCGGACCCUGCCCGCCCCCGGGCCGGGGUGACUCACGGAGCCGCGGGUGCUGAGCGGGAGCGCGGCUAUUUCCGUGCUCCCCCUGCAAUCCCUGCUCCUCCGGCUGCGCUGUCAGGCACCUCAGCACCCCCGCCGCCUCUAUUCUUAGCAGCUAAUAGCUGAAAUAAUUCCUUUUGUCUCCGCGCUGUUGGCUCCUUGCAUCGGGAGGCAGCGAGAGCUGCCCCCACAGCCGCUGCCAGCGCUGGGAGGGCGGCCGGGGGUCCCGGGGGUGGGGGCGGUGUCCUUGUGCCCACCGGGAAUUCUGCUGUGGGCUGAGCAUCCCAAACACCCCGGCCCCGAGUCCCACACCGGCCCCGAAGCGGUGCUUGGAAGCGGCUGGGAUGUUAACGCGGUGCCACCUCUUUGAAAAGGAUCCUGGCACUUCCAGCUGGGUUUCUUAGACUUCACCGGGAAAAUUCCAGGUUUUCAGAGGGAGGGCCAGGUUUUCACCUGCGGGCUCCCAUUUCAGUGCCUGCUCUGUGCCGUGGGCUGGGUUCGCACCGAGAAUGCAAAAGCUCCAUGCAAAUGUGACUCCCCAGUGCCAGCACAGCCGUGCCAACACAUCCCCGACAGCGCCCGGGAGCGAGCCCACACCUCUGGCAGGGCUGGCUUUCGAUCCCAGCACCAGCUGUUCCACACAAUUCCCUUGAAGCACCUCCCGAGGGGCACCGUGAACCCCCCGCCCCGCUCUCUGUGGGGCUGUCAGCCGUGCACACCCAAACAGACGCAUGGAAUCGGCUUUGAAACUUUGGGAAGGGGUUUGUUGCUCUUUAUCUGCCUGCUGCUCUUCCUCCUGCUGCUUGGGACCCCAGGGAGAGCAGCAGAGUGUUCCAAAUGGAACAGGGUGCCCAGAGCAGCUGUGGCUGUCCCUGGAUCCCUGGAGGUGUCCAAGGCCAGGCUGGAUGGGGCUUGGAGCAGCCUGGGAUGGUGGAAGGUGUCCCUGCCCAUGGCAGGGGGGGCACUGGAUGAGCUUUAAGGUCCCUUCCAACCCAAACCAUUCUGUGAUUCUGCUGGGCUGGUAAAGAAAGGACCCACUGGCCAUUUCUCUGGAAUUCACUAUGGAAAACAAUAAACCUUUUGGAAAAAAAACGAAACCUGAAUGUUUGUUGUGACUCUGUCCCUCACUGAGGCUGUUUGUAAGCAUGAGGUAUCACUGGCAAAUCCAACAAGAGCUACCCCACAUCAGCACUUGAAAAACCGACCAUUCUGCAUUUUACAGCAGCUUUUAAGCCUCUGGGUUGGUAAAGGGAAGAAACUUUUCCACUGCCCUGUCCACCUUUGCCCGAUUCCUUGCUCCUUCCGUUUGUGCCCAGCCACUCCCGCGGGGAUGUGCCAAGCCUCCCCUUCCGUGGCUGCGAGGUCGAGGGGUUACACAUUUACAGCUGCCCAGACUUGCUCCGGCCCGGGCAGGAAUUCACUUGGCAUAAACGAGGCCUUUGGAUUAUUUAUCUCAGCCUUUCAGUUAAACAGGAACAUGCCCUGAUUUUAACAAUCGUGCUUCCUGCGCUGGGGGAAGGUGUGGCCGAUGGCAUUUAAACCCAAACCCGAGCCAAGGCUUCCCCGGCAGGAAGCUGGAAGUGCGGGCAGGACCACGAGGGUUUCCUUCAGCACUCAAAACACCCCAGCAGCAAUAAUGAUGUGCAUAAGGGGGAGAUGUGGGGAGUGUCAGACUCCAUUUGUUGUUGCUAUCAAGGUCAUCGCAGCGUGGCAGCAGAAAAUCGCACGGGAGACGCCGGAGAACUGAGGAUGAACCUUCAGGUACAGCCUGGCACAGAAGCAGGGCAAGCCCAAACUUCCUCUGGAAGAUGAGGAAUCCCUCCUUGAUCCUUUCAUGGUGCUGAGGGAACUGUCAGUGACAGUCUGGAGAGUCAAUCCUCUCCCUCCCUCCUCAAAAAAUGGUAUUUUCCCCAAACAUCCAGCCCGAACCACCCCAGUUGCAAGUCCUGAAAUCUUGUUAGAAUGUUCAGCACUAUAAAAACUCUCUAUUUUAUUAAUCAGCACUCAGGGCCCAGCUGUGAUCAGCCAUGGGGUCACUCCCAGUUUUGGAAGAGAUUCCUACCCUGCCAUUCUGAUGGUGACACUGAUCUCCCCUGUCUCACACCACAGCCAUGGAUUAUUCCCAUUUUCCAAGCCUCCUUUCUAGCCCAGGACUUUGCACCCUCAUAGGCAGUUCUUACAAAACCAAAGCUCUGCCUCCUACUUUUAAAGUCUGUAAGGAAAAGAAAAAAAAAGCUAAAAAAAAACCCAACCCAAACCAGUAGCUACACAUGGAAAUGGGCUCCAGUUAAACCAGAAAAGCAGCCUAGAUUUUUAUAGUGGAAUGUCGAAGAUGUUCAAACGCUGAAUCCUGCCCAAGAGUGUCAGAAAAUGACUUUAUGCUUUUAGGCCUCAUCACUCCGAUCUGAGGGCUGAAGUUUUCCACUGCCCCAAGAUUCCUGACACAGCUGAUUGUUCCCCAGUGCAGCUCACAGCUCUGAGCUCUUCUUGGGAGCCACCAGCAAGCACCUAGAGCCAGGCAAAGACAGAAACACUCCAGGGCUGGUGAUUUUCAAAGGAAAGCAAACCAUAAAAUAAACACUGCAUUUCUCCUGAAAGCAACCAGAAAGAGUCAUUUGGGAUAAAACAAAGUUGGUUUCACCUUCCUGACACACCACAGGCCUGACAAAAGCGGUGUGAGCCGCAAGCACCAGCCAACUGCCCCGUUUCUGAGGCUCCCAGCUUUCAUCUGGCUCGGGUGUUUCAUCUUGCUCUGUCACAUCUGGAGCUCCCUGGAUCUCGAGGUGGGCUCUGCCCGCCUGCACAGCACGGUGCAAACCACCAGGGAGAAGUGGGAACACAGAAAAUCCGCCCUGGCCCUGCGUGCUGGGGCUCCUGAGAGAAUGGGGGUGACUGGAAGCAGCACAGGCAGCUCCAGCCUCAGCAAAGCCCGGCCUGCUUGGGGGGAUGACUCAUUUCAGGAGCCUGUGCUCGCUCCCAGUCAUUAAGGAAGGAGUUAAUCCCUGCAGCUUUGGCCACAAAGUGGAUGUGUAAGGCCUGGAGUCCCAUGGGCUCGAUUGCAUAAGAAACCAUGUAUUGUGGCAUUUAGUUGAUCAUGCACUACUUCUUCUGGUCACAUGGAGGCUUGAUUUCCCCUUGCAUCAGCUACUACAGACUUUUUACAGUUCCCAUACUGGUGUCUGUUCAGCUCACCGGGGUCAUCCCCUUCACCCCACAGCACAGCCCGUGCUGCUCACCCAGCCCUGACCCACGGGAUCUCACCCCAUUUUUUGUAGGAUCCUAUCAGAGGAACCGGGCACUUGUAAUUUUCCUCAUUUGUGUCUGUGCGUAACAGGUGUCAUUUUCAGUGUAGUACAGACAAAUCCCAAAAUAGCUCAGGCUCUUCAGACGCUGCGAGGAGAAAAAAACCCGUGGUUACUUCAGCUUUGGUUGUAGUGAAAAACCCAACGCUCGCAGCCGGCUCUGAAGUCAGAAUUAAAAUGGCAGACGGAGGAGUGGAGCAGGGAUCUCUCUGCAUUCCGUGGUUCCUGACGGACUGCUCCUCGCUGCUCUGUGUGUGCACAUCAACUCCCUCUCAGUGCUGCCUCUCCAUCAGCUUCCCUGAUUCCCAGGAGCUGCACCUACCACGGAUCCUCCUCCACACUUCCCGGGGCUGGCAGAGCUCUGCUUCCCCUGCCGGGUGCCGGGGCUGGCCGGAGGCACCGGAGUUAUUCCAGGGAUUUGGGGGGCAGAGGCAAGGAGAGAGAGUGCAGCUGCAAAAGGCUCCUUGCCUGGGGAUGAUGCCUGCUGUGCUGAAAGGCAGAGCUGCCUGUGGCCUGUCUUUGUUGGGGAUUAUUGGAUUCUGUGGAUUCUGGUGACUCCAGGAGCGCAGUUAUUAGUUCCCCUGCCCACGCCGAGCGUUUUGAAUCUGUGUGUGUGAUAACACUUAUUAAUGCUGCUCAGAUUAAGAAGAUCCUGUGGCUUUCCAGCACUUUCAGCACCUUAUCUCACGCCACACAUCUCCCCAGCAGCUAAACCACGCUCAGAUCAGUGUCUUGUGGCCAGCAGAGCAGGGGUUUGUGGGGCCAGCAGUAGCCUCAUGCCCAGAAGUCCUGCAUUUGUUCACAGCAGCAGCUCCUCUUAAGCUGCCUUGUGCUUCAGGGGAUCUGCCUGCUGAGGAUUUGCAGGACAUGGGCCUAAAAUAUUUCGUUUCAGGAAGUCAAGCAGUAGUUCCUGUCACCGAAACAGUUAAUCAGAAAGCACCAACUCUCUGCUGCAACGUGUGUGUGCGUGCACGUGUUUUUGUUUUUUAGAGCCAGCAAGAUUUGCUUUGGUUUUUUUAAAGCAGAAAACACCAAAAAAGUUGGCUGUGGUUUCAGCUGCUAUCGCUCGAGAUUUGUACUGCUGACUACCAAUCCUAAAAGAGUUAACCUGGCAAGUAUGACUCAGAAGCAGAGAAGGAGAUGCGAGGCUGAGAGCCGGGGAGGAAGCGCAGAAAGAGAGGUGAGGAACAGAAUAAUUGCCAAAAAAAGGUGCAGAGCCCAGGAGCGACGUUCCCUCCGGUCUGCCUGGCCCUGGCACCGCUGGCACGGGCUCCCUGGAAAGCUGCAGUUCCGCUCUUAUAACACAAGGAGCAGGCUGGAGAAUUUAGAGCUGCGUCACAGAGCUCAGCGAGAGAGUGAGAGAGCAAGCUCCGUCGAUAGGUCUACCAGCAACAGCCCUGCUGCAGCAAGAGGGGAGAGAGGCAGCAAGAGAGGCAGAGAGGGCUCCAGGAAGAGAAGUGGCACCAACACCACGGACUGGGCUCCUGCCACCAUCCACUGCCAUUUGCACCUCGUACUCGGGUUCGCAUGGCGUAGGAGGCUUCGCCCAUUGACGAUGCUGGAGACCCGGCGCGCUUAAUCCCACGGGGAGGGAGAGUGGGCAGACACCGAAAGGGUUAACGGGAAGGAAAUUUCUGGAACCUUCUCUUCUGCGGCGCUCCAGAGCGAGCGGAGGGCUGAGGACUGCGCAGAUGGUGCACGGGCACGGCUCCUCGGUCCGGUUCGUCUCCCUCACCGCCCCGCAAUGAAGAUGGCAGCUCUGCCUGGAAGUGCUGAGGACACAGCCAGCCUUGAGCUUGGUCCUUCUGGCCGAGGAAGUCCCCCGAUUAUGCAGUGGAGUGGUACGGUGGAGAUGAAGGAUUUUCUCCCUCAGCCUGCAGCCAUGCACAAGAUGUGUCUUCCUCUGGAAGCUGGUUUCACAUGGUGGCUUAGAUUUUCCCACUUUGUAUCUAGCACCAUUUGAAAUCAGUGUUCUAGGAGCAAGAAUUACAGCGUGGGAGGAGACCGAGCACCUGCUCACUUCAACAACAUCCUCUGCUCCUCAAAUCAGCCCCUUUUCCAAAGGUUAUUUUUUUUACCAGCCAUCCACUUUGUAACAUCAUCUGAUUUCUGAACACUCCAACCACUGUAUGCACCCUCCCAAGCCAGGGCCACAGCAGCACAGCCUCCUGCUCGUGUACUUCUGCUCAAUAAACAAUGGAUAUGAGUUCAAGGUGUCCAGAGUACAGUGAUCCGCAAGUUGCAUGAAAACCAACGUGGUAUCUCUUGUACCUUGACAGGCAGAGUAUGUUUGAUACCCAAAAACUAGGAUCAACCUCGAAUUUACUGCCUCAGAGCAAAAGGAUUCCCACCCUCUGCUUGGGGGCUCCAUCACCACGGGAUUCUCAUUCCAUAGCUCUGCAAACACAGAAAUUCCCCCCAAUAAUUUCACCUCAGCAGUCAGACACAAGUGCCUUCAGCAAUCCCAGACUGGCUUGGGUUGGAAAGGACCUUAAAGAUCAUCCUGUUCCACCCCCUGCCACGGGCAUCACAAGAUGCCACACAGCACACACAGAACCCACUCCUUUUUCCAGAGUCACUUUCCAGCACACACAGAACCCACUCCUUUUUCCAGAGUCACUUUCCAGCACACACAGAACCAACUCCUUUUUCCAGAAUCACUUUCCAGCACACACAGAACCCACUCCUUUUUCCAGAGUCAUUUUCCAGCACACACAGAACCCACUCCUUUUUCUAGAAUAAUUGUCCAGUUUGCUGCUGGUACCUCCCAGCAAUAUUUCACUUCUCCAACCCUGCAUCCCAACCUAGAAUCAAGCUGAACUUUUUUUUUUUUUUUGCCCUCCCUGCUGCCCAGCGUGUUCCCAGACAUGGAAAAGCUGAUCCCUGUGUGGAUGAAGGUUUGAUCAGAGCACUGAGUAGUCAUCUCUAAAGAAUGCAUAGCUGUCAUCUCCAAGAGGAUCCUUCUCUGAGCCAGGAAAACGUCUCUUACACAGGCUGACCGAUUUCUCUUGGUGUUCAGAGUCUCAGUUUUUGUCUAGCACCAUUUGAAAUCGGUUAUGAUGUAGGGGGAAAAGCAACAGUAAUGGGAAACUUCCUUCCCUCACCCCCCAGGUCACAAACAAACACCAUCCAGAGCACCACCUGGCCUCCCCAACACCACUGGCUUGUGUUCUCUGAGCUGAAGUUCCCCCCACAGGCUGAACAUCCUGCACACAAGGAGGACAGUCAGCAUCCCCUUCACGUGAGGAUGGGAUGCUUCCAGACAGAGAGAAGCAUCUCUUCAAACAUAACUCAGCUUCUUCAACUCAGGCAAGCCAGGGCCUGGGUGUGACAACACAGUCACCCAACCUUCUGACCAUUUCUACUCCAUGUGCUGUUUGUUUGCCUUAACCUGUUCUUUACACAGAUUAUUUUUUUUUCCUUUUAAAUAAAAUUGUGUGCUCUAUGCUCCUGGGCUCUGUCUCAGGUAGAGAGAUCACCUGAUUCCCUGCUGGACAACACCUAAG
Molecule: long non-coding RNA, 13387 nt
Organism: Onychostruthus taczanowskii (white-rumped snowfinch)
Lineage: Eukaryota; Metazoa; Chordata; Aves; Passeriformes; Passeridae
Exons: 5
Source: RefSeq, a predicted model, not a curated record